RNAcentral lists this ribosomal RNA (1601 nucleotides) under Melanophryniscus simplex. Its description in RNAcentral is "16S ribosomal RNA". It matches the Rfam family "Bacterial large subunit ribosomal RNA". Lineage: Eukaryota; Metazoa; Chordata; Amphibia; Anura; Bufonidae. The record is from RNAcentral.
GCUAAAAAUCUAGCCCCACACAUCCGCAUACAAAACUACUUAUACUUACCCUCAACUAAAACAUUUACCCCACUUAGUAAAGGAGAUUGAAAAAUUACUUGGAGCUAUAAACCUAGUACCGCAAGGGAAAGAUGAAAUAAAAAUGAAAUAAACUUUAAGCAUAAAAAAGUAGAGACUAAAUCUCGUACCUUUUGCAUCAUGAUUUAACUAGUCAAAUCAAGCAAAACGAACUAAAGUUUGCCCCCCCGAAACUAAGUGAGCUACUUCAGGGCAGCUAAAUGAGCCAACCCGUCUCUGUUGCAAAAGAGUGGGAAGACCUUCAAGUAGAGGUGAUAGACCUAACGAACUUAGUGAUAGCUGGUUGCUUAAGAAAAGGAUCUUAGUCCCACCUAAAGUACCCUAAAUUACACAAAAUAAACAACUUACUUUAGAGCAAUUCUAGCAAGGUACAGCUUACUAGAAAAAGGAUACAACCUAAGCCAAUGGGUAACCCACGUGCACCUAAUUAAUAAAGUGGGCCUAAAAGCAGCCAUCUUAAAAAAGCGUCAAAGCUUAAUUAAUCACCACCACACAAUUUUUAUAUUAACAUCUACCCCUUAAACACUAUUAAGCAAUUCUACACUAUGUAGAAAUUUUUAUGUUAAAACUAGUAACAAGAAGACAAGCUUCUCUUUAAUGUAAGUGUAAAUCAGAAAGGAUAAUCCACUGAUAUUUACCGUGAUUGAAUCUAAAGUAGCAACUUAUCAAGAAAACCCUACCCUAACACACGUUAACCUAACACAAGAACAUAUCAAGAAAGAUUAAAAGAAAUAGAAGGAACUCGGCAAACUUUAACCUCGCCUGUUUACCAAAAACAUCGCCUUUUGAAAAAAUAUAAAAGGUCCAGCCUGCCCAGUGACAUUGUUCAACGGCCGCGGUAUCCUAACCGUGCGAAGGUAGCGUAAUCACUUGUUCUUUAAAUGAGGACUAGUAUGAAUGGCACCACGAGGGUUAUACUGUCUCCUAUUUUUAAUCAGUGAAACUAAUCUCCCCGUGAAGAAGCGGGGAUAAGCCUAUAAGACGAGAAGACCCUAUGGAGCUUUAAACUAAAUAACAACUGCUACUUUCAAAUACCCCAUUUCAGAAGAUUAAACUCUUAUAUUAGCACUAUGAUUAUUAGUUUUAGGUUGGGGUGACCGCGGAGUAAAAAACAACCUCCACACUGAAAGGACUACUCUCCUAAGCUUAGAGCUACAUCUCUGAGCAUCAAAAAACUGACACCAAUUGACCCAAUUUAUUGAUCAACGAACCAAGUUACCCUAGGGAUAACAGCGCAAUCUACUUCGAGAGCCCCUAUCGACAAGUAGGUUUACGACCUCGAUGUUGGAUCAGGGUAUCCCAGUGGUGCAGCCGCUACUAAAGGUUCGUUUGUUCAACGAUUAAAACCCUACGUGAUCUGAGUUCAGACCGGAGUAAUCCAGGUCAGUUUCUAUCUAUAAAGAACUUUUUCUAGUACGAAAGGACCGAAAAAAUAUGGCCAAUGUAAAUUACAAGCCAUAGCUGUUUAUUUAUGUAAAAGACUUAAUAAAACUUAGCCUACUACUUAACUCAAGAAAAGAGCA